This 254-nucleotide ribosomal RNA is filed under the name uncultured bacterium. RNAcentral's name for it is "partial 16S ribosomal RNA". It matches the Rfam family "Bacterial small subunit ribosomal RNA", at positions 524 to 776 of the family's 1533-position model. The record is from RNAcentral.
UACGUAGGGUGCAAGCGUUGUCCGGAAUUAUUGGGCGUAAAGAGCUCGUAGGCGGCUCGUCGCGUCGGCUGUGAAAACCUGAGGCUCAACCUCAGGCCUGCAGUCGAUACGGGCGGACUUGAGUACUGCAGGGGAGACUGGAAUUCCUGGUGUAGCGGUGAAAUGCGUAGAUAUCCGGAGGAACACCGGUGGCGAAGGCGGCUUCCUGGGCCGAUUACUGACGCUGAGGCGCGAAAGCUAGGGGAGCAAACGGG